Molecule: ribosomal RNA, 447 nt
Filed under: uncultured bacterium
Lineage: Bacteria
Description: bacterial SSU rRNA
Rfam family: Bacterial small subunit ribosomal RNA
Source: RNAcentral
AGACCAGACUCCUACGGGAGGCAGCAGUGGGGAAUAUUGCACAAUGGGGGAAACCCUGAUGCAGCGACGCCGCGUGAGCGAUGAAGUCUUUCGGUAUGUAAAGCUCUAUCAGCAGGGAAGAAAAUGACGGUACCUGACUAAGAAGCCCCGGCUAACUACGUGCCAGCAGCCGCGGUAAUACGUAGGGGGCAAGCGUUAUCCGGAUUUACUGGGUGUAAAGGGAGCGUAGACGGCUGUGCAAGCCAGAUGUGAAAGCCCGGGGCUCAACCCCGGGACUGCAUUUGGAACUGUGUGGCUGGAGUGUCGGAGAGGCAGGCGGAAUUCCUAGUGUAGCGGUGAAAUGCGUAGAUAUUAGGAGGAACACCAGUGGCGAAGGCGGCCUGCUGGACGAUGACUGACGUUGAGGCUCGAAAGCGUGGGGAGCAAACAGGAUUAGAUACCCGAGUA